AUUGAACGCUGGCGGCAUGCUUUACACAUGCAAGUCGAACGGUAACAGGCCGCAAGGUGCUGACGAGUGGCGGACGGGGGAGUAAUGCAUCGGAACGUGCCCAGUCGUGGGGGAUAACUACUCGAAAGAGUAGCUAAUACCGCAUACGAUCUAUGGAUGAAAGCGGGUGACCGCAAGGCCUCGCGCGAUUUGAGCGGCCGAUGUCAGAUUAGGUAGUUGGUGGGGUAAAGGCUCACCAAGCCAACGAUCUGUAGCUGGUCUGAGAGGACGACCAGCCACACUGGGACUGAGACACGGCCCAGACUCCUACGGGAGGCAGCAGUGGGGAAUUUUGGACAAUGGGCGCAAGCCUGAUCCAGCAAUGCCGCGUGCAGGAAGAAGGCCUUCGGGUUGUAAACUGCUUUUGUACGGAACGAAACGGCUCUGGUUAAUACCCGGGGCUAAUGACGGUACCGUAAGAAUAAGCACCGGCUAACUACGUG
RNAcentral lists this ribosomal RNA (482 nucleotides) under uncultured bacterium. RNAcentral's name for it is "partial 16S ribosomal RNA". It matches the Rfam family "Bacterial small subunit ribosomal RNA", at positions 30 to 507 of the family's 1533-position model. The record is from RNAcentral.